This 1159-nucleotide long non-coding RNA is filed under the name Homo sapiens (human). Its description in RNAcentral is "PREDICTED lncRNA (TCONS_00151113)". The record is from RNAcentral. Lineage: Eukaryota; Metazoa; Chordata; Mammalia; Primates; Hominidae.
AGAGAGAUACUCAGUCUCAAAAAAACAAAAACAAAACAAGUCAGAGAGCCAGAAAAUAGGAAUUUUAGAGUAAGGAACUGGGGCAAUUACAUGCUCUGGCAGCGUUUAAGAAUCUGGGGGCCCCAAAGCCAGCCCUGGGCAUUUCUUGGGUAUCAUGUACCUCUCUGUGGGGGCAGUGCUUCAAAGCCUCCCACUCAGGAGAUCUUUGUCAGCAGUGUGAUGAGUGGGAAGAGAAAGGCGUACAGCAGUGUGCAUGCCAGGCCCCAUAUGCUUUUAAAAAGGGACUUUAUAGCUACGGACAGUCCUAUAAGAGAGCAGAAACUGAUUUCCUCCCUGUGGUAGGGAGAUUUUUCUUACCCUUUUGAACUGUUUCUUUUUUUAACCAUGAGGAGGUUACUUUCCAUCUAAAAAGUAAUAAUGUAAAAACCACAUGGGGGUGAAUGGUAUAGAGCCGAGAAGUGCCUGCUCCGGAGGCUGCAAGCUCGGGCUCCCGCAGCACAGCUGCUGCCCACUCUGCUGGAGGCCUCUUCUGGGUGCAUCUUCAUGAGUUACAAGAAGCACAUUACUUUGACCCCAAAGGGAACGCUACACUUCCUUAGAAAUUAAGAGUGUGUGCUACACUGCUUUACCAGAGCAAGGCCAAAAGCAGCUUCAAUUAUGGUACAACUGUGUGAAGACACAAUGCAAAACCACUCAAGAAUGCUCACUCAAAUGGAUUUUUACCAUGGAACUCGGAAACGGGACCCAGAAAGUUGUUUUCUCAAGUGGAUGGAACAACACAAGCAAUCAGUAUCCUGAAACAGGCCCUGUUCCAACAAACUGACCCAGAAAGCAAGUAUGAGGACUCCUGUUUCCCUACGUACUCACUACUACAGCAAAGAUAUCAAACAUUGAUACCCACCAAUCUCUGGAUGGAAAAACAAAUCUCAGGAAUCGCUUGCAGGAGGCUCUGCACGUUCCUCAGAUUCAGAGUCGCUGUCCUUUUGCCUGUGAAGCUCCUCACUUUCAGAGUCACUAGCAUUAAGAUUUAAGGGCUCAUCGUUCUCAGAGUCUGUCACAUGAUGUCCUUUGGGGAGGCCAUCUUCUCGAUCACUAGUUUCAUUCUGAAAAAUAAAGUGAGAAAAAAUUAGGAAAGUGCAAAAAAAAAAAAACCAUUAAU